UUCAAGUGACUAAUGAUCAAAACCAAACUGUAUUCAAAACAAGAAAUUCCCUUUAAAGUCCCUACACUUAACCAUUUUCAAGUGAUUAAGUAUCAAAACUUAACCACAUUCAAAAUAUAAAAUCUCCUUUAAUGUCCCUACACUUAACCAUUUUCAAGUAACUAACUACGAAAACCAAACAACAUUCAUAAUAAAAAAUUCCAUUU
This 206-nucleotide long non-coding RNA is filed under the name Capsicum annuum. Its description in RNAcentral is "long non-coding RNA (CANN_LNC012890)". The record is from RNAcentral. Lineage: Eukaryota; Viridiplantae; Streptophyta; Magnoliopsida; Solanales; Solanaceae.